This 438-nucleotide ribosomal RNA is filed under the name uncultured bacterium. RNAcentral's name for it is "bacterial SSU rRNA". It matches the Rfam family "Bacterial small subunit ribosomal RNA", at positions 957 to 1393 of the family's 1533-position model. The record is from RNAcentral.
UAACGCGAAGAACCUUACCAAGGCUUGACAUGGACCGGAUCGCCGCAGAAAUGUGGUUUCCCCUUUGGGGCCGGUUCACAGGUGGUGCAUGGUUGUCGUCAGCUCGUGUCGUGAGAUGUUGGGUUAAGUCCCGCAACGAGCGCAACCCUCGUUCCAUGUUGCCAGCGCGUAAUGGCGGGGACUCAUGGGAGACUGCCGGGGUCAACUCGGAGGAAGGUGGGGACGACGUCAAAUCAUCAUGCCCCUUAUGUCUUGGGCUUCACGCAUGCUACAAUGGCCGGUACAAAGGGUUGCGAUACUGUGAGGUGGAGCUAAUCCCAAAAAGCCGGUCUCAGUUCGGAUUGGGGUCUGCAACUCGACCCCAUGAAGUCGGAGUCGCUAGUAAUCGCAGAUCAGCAACGCUGCGGUGAAUACGUUCCCGGGUCUUGUACACACCGA